This 1300-nucleotide unclassified non-coding RNA is filed under the name Bombus terrestris (buff-tailed bumblebee). RNAcentral's name for it is "misc RNA ENSBTSG00005035135.1". Lineage: Eukaryota; Metazoa; Arthropoda; Insecta; Hymenoptera; Apidae. The record is from RNAcentral.
GUGGAGAUGCAUUGUUAAAUUUACAGUGCUAGGUUCAGAAUUCAUAGAGUCAGGUUGAGGAAGUGCAAGUAGAUGACUAAUCUCGAGCACCCUACAUGCAGUUAAUUGAGAUACUUGCAAAGAUUGUCCAUACUGAGCAAGAGCUUCAAGAGCAGUAAUACUUAAAUUUAUAUGCCGCAUUAAAGCUGUUUGUCUAUCUUCUGCUAAAGCCUCUUCUAUUUGAGUUUCUGCUAAAUGUAAUUCUAAAUUUCCUCGUAUUUUUUCAAAUUCUUGACAUUUCAAACAAUUCAAUUUCUAUAAAUUUUGUGAUUCGUAAAAACUUAAAGGCUUCGUUCUUCCAUUAUUCUGCUUAUCGCAUAAACCAUAAUGUGAUGAAGUUCUUUCGAAAGGUUUACAUUGAUGUGUUAUUGAAAGUAGAGGCGACAACAACUGCGAUGCACACAGAGGUACUUCUUCUUCUGAUGUUGGUGUGCAGUAGAAACAAGGUUCAUGUAAAUUAGAAUCAUUCCAUCGUUUAUAUCUUUGCUCAUGAAAUUGUGACAUCUUUUAUCUUCAAAUAAAUUCCUGUUCUAAUUACAUUUUUAAUUUUAAUUUUUGUCAUUCAAAUCCUAUGGUUUACUUACAUAAUGAAAUUAUUUAUUAAAGAAAAAUAUAAAUUUUUAAUAUUUCACAGGAGAUAAUUUUAAUAGAUUAAUAUAAGGAAAAGGUAUAUUUUAAGGUUGAGUAUUAAACAGAACACAUAUUUGAAUCAUAAACACUUAUGUUACAAACCAGUAAUCAUUUAUUAUAAUCGUCUUCAAUUGAAAAGGACAAUUAAAGCGAUAAAUGUAUAUAUAUAUAUUAUAUAUAUACAUAUAUAUACGCAUUAUAGUUUAUAUUAAGGUUAUAAAGAUAUGACUAAUUGAUUCAGUAAAAUAAACAACAAGACAUAAAAAUGACAAAUGAUAUAACAAUUGAUUGCUCCACUGCUACACUAAAUUUUAAACCUCAAUAUUAUUACUUGGGUGCAUUCAAAAUUCUAAUUAAUAUUAACAAUUGAUGCUCCUAUGUUACAUUAAUAAAUAAAUACAACAUAAAGAAGAUAAGUAGACAUAAUUAUUACUUUCAAGCACAUUUCGUUGUAUAAUCUAUUUUUGAAAUUAUUCGUAAUAAUGACCUUAUUCUACAGAAGUAUAUUAAAAUGAAAUAUUAAGUGUAAUUAUUUUAUGACAUCACGUUAUAAUUUAUUAAUACAUCAUUUACAUUAUGUAUAAUAUUGUUGGAAAAUUUGUAAUGUACAUUGUUUUUACCGAAAAAUAAA